GAUGAACGCUGGCGGCGUGCCUAAUACAUGCAAGUCGAGCGAACGGACGAGAAGCUUGCUUUUCUGAUGUUAGCGGCGGACGGGUGAGUAACACGUGGAUAACCUACCUAUAAGACUGGGAUAACUUCGGGAAACCGGAGCUAAUACCGGAUAAUAUAUUGAACCGCAUGGUUCAAUAGUGAAAGACGGUUUUGCUGUCACUUAUAGAUGGAUCCGCGCCGCAUUAGCUAGUUGGUAAGGUAACGGCUUACCAAGGCAACGAUGCGUAGCCGACCUGAGAGGGUGAUCGGCCACACUGGAACUGAGACACGGUCCAGACUCCUACGGGAGGCAGCAGUAGGGAAUCUUCCGCAAUGGGCGAAAGCCUGACGGAGCAACGCCGCGUGAGUGAUGAAGGUCUUCGGAUCGUAAAACUCUGUUAUUAGGGAAGAACAAAUGUGUAAGUAACUAUGCACGUCUUGACGGUACCUAAUCAGAAAGCCACGGCUAACUACGUG
RNAcentral lists this ribosomal RNA (497 nucleotides) under uncultured bacterium. RNAcentral describes it as "partial 16S ribosomal RNA". It matches the Rfam family "Bacterial small subunit ribosomal RNA", at positions 28 to 507 of the family's 1533-position model. The record is from RNAcentral.